UGUUCUGUAGCUUAGUUGGUUAAAGCGCCGGAUUAGCGAUAACGGAGUCGUGGGUUCGAAUCCCACCAAAACAA
This is a non-coding RNA of Aedes albopictus (Asian tiger mosquito), 74 nucleotides long. The record is from Rfam. Lineage: Eukaryota; Metazoa; Arthropoda; Insecta; Diptera; Culicidae.